UGGGGAAUCUUGCGCAAUGGUCGAAAGACUGACGCAGCGACGCCGCGUGCGGGAGGAAGCUCUUCGGGGUGUAAACCGCUGUUGCCCGGAACGAAACUCAGGAUUCGUCCUGAUUGACGGUACCGGGUGAGGAAGCGCCGGCUAACUCUGUGCCAGCAGCCGCGGUAAUACAGAGGGCGCGAGCGUUGUCCGGAAUCACUGGGCGUAAAGGGCGCGUAGGUGGCCACCAUAAGGCCGCGGUGAAAGUUCGGGGCUCAACCCCGGAUCGGCCGCGGCGACUGUGGGGCUCGGGUACUGUAGAGGCAGAUGGAAUUCCGGGUGUAGCGGUGGAAUGCGUAGAGAUCCGGAAGAACACCAGUGGCGAAGGCGGUCUGCUGGGCAGUGGGAUCGGAAGGUCCCUUCAACCGACACUGAGGCGCGACAGCGUGGGGAGCAAACAGGAUUAGAUACCCCCGUAGUCC
RNAcentral lists this ribosomal RNA (461 nucleotides) under uncultured bacterium. RNAcentral describes it as "bacterial SSU rRNA". It matches the Rfam family "Bacterial small subunit ribosomal RNA", at positions 355 to 796 of the family's 1533-position model. The record is from RNAcentral.